GCAAGUCACCAUCAGGGAUUUGAGGGAAAUAGGCUUUGUGCCUGGGUGAUAGAAAGGGGCCAGGUUCUGGGAGCUUGGCUGCAGGCCAUGUCUCACUGGCCAGAGGCAGCUCUCCCAGCCAAGAACUGGGCACUCCCCCCACCCCAGCGAGCUCUGUCCCUCUUGGAGUAUGCUUGUGUCCUUCAGCAAUCCCUCCCUCCUGUUCAAUUCCAGCCACAAGUCUUCAGGCUUACAGGAAGAUGGAGAUGCUUUUCUUCCAACUCGGCUCUGUGCAGACAAACACAUAUAAGGACAGCAGCUGGGGUGACCACCACUGACGACCAUUUCAACGCCACUGACCCAAACAACGUUUUCUCCAAACCAGUGACUGAGCUGGACAGACCUCCUGCGGGGGAGUUCACAGCGGGCAGGCCCAGAAACACUCUCAUUUCUGUCAAAGCCGGAAACAACCACUUCUCAACCUUUCUGGAAUUCCUGGUGACUUUGUAGUUUGCCUGUGUUUGUUAUUUUUGCUAACUCCUGUUUGCCUGUAGUUCCUGAUGAUUAGAAAAAUAAGCAAAGCAAGCCUUAAACACGAGAAG
Molecule: long non-coding RNA, 581 nt
Organism: Bos taurus (domestic cattle)
Lineage: Eukaryota; Metazoa; Chordata; Mammalia; Artiodactyla; Bovidae
Source: Ensembl